RNAcentral lists this ribosomal RNA (468 nucleotides) under uncultured bacterium. RNAcentral's name for it is "partial 16S ribosomal RNA". It matches the Rfam family "Bacterial small subunit ribosomal RNA", at positions 28 to 506 of the family's 1533-position model. The record is from RNAcentral.
GAUGAACGCUGGCGGCGUGCUUAACACAUGCAAGUCGAACGGUGAAGCUCCAGCUUGCUGGAGUGGAUCAGUGGCGAACGGGUGAGUAACACGUGAGCAACCUGCCCCUGACUCUGGGAUAACAGCCGGAAACGGCUGCUAAUACCGGAUAUGCACCAUGAACGCAUGUUCUGUGGUGGGAAAGAUUUUUCGGUUGGGGAUGGGCUCGCGGCCUAUCAGCUUGUUGGUGAGGUAAUGGCUCACCAAGGCGUCGACGGGUAGCCGGCCUGAGGGGGUGACCGGCAAAAAGGGGAAUGGGAAACGGCCCAGACCCCUACGGGAGGCAGCAGGGGGGAAUAUUGCACAAGGGGCGAAAGCCUGAUGCAGAAACGCCGGGUGGGGGAGGACGGCCUUCGGGUUGUAAACCUUUUUUAGAGGGAAAGAAGCGAGGGGGACGGUACCUGCAGAAAAAGCGCCGGCUAACUAAGU